RNAcentral lists this ribosomal RNA (439 nucleotides) under uncultured bacterium. RNAcentral's name for it is "partial 16S ribosomal RNA". It matches the Rfam family "Bacterial small subunit ribosomal RNA", at positions 339 to 795 of the family's 1533-position model. The record is from RNAcentral.
CUACGGGAUGCAGCAGUGAGGAAUAUUGCACAAUGGGGGGAACCCUGAUGCAGCAACGCCGCGUGGAGGAUGACGCAUUUCGGUGUGUAAACUCCUUUUAUAUGUCAAGAAAAUGACGGUAGCAUAUGAAUAAGCACCGGCUAACUCCGUGCCAGCAGCCGCGGUAAUACGGAGGGUGUAAGCGUUACUCGGAAUCACUGGGCGUAAAGGACGCGUAGGCGGGUUGGAAAGUCAGGUAUGAAAUCCUACAGCUUAACUGUAGAACUGCACUUGAAACUUCUAAUCUAGAGUAUGGGAGGGGGAGAUGGAAUUAGUGGUGUAGGGGUAAAAUCCGUAGAUAUCACUAGGAAUACCUAAAGCGAAGGCGAUCUCCUGGAACAUUACUGACGCUAAGGCGUGAAAGCGUGGGGAGCAAACAGGAUUAGAUACCCUAGUAGUC